Molecule: transfer RNA, 66 nt
Filed under: Neotoma lepida (desert woodrat)
Lineage: Eukaryota; Metazoa; Chordata; Mammalia; Rodentia; Cricetidae
Rfam family: tRNA
About the family: Transfer RNA (tRNA) molecules are approximately 80 nucleotides in length. Their secondary structure includes four short double-helical elements and three loops (D, anti-codon, and T loops).
Source: Rfam by way of RNAcentral
GAUGUGGCUCAGUGGGUAGAGCUCUGGCCUAACACACCCAGGACCCUGGGUUUGAUCCCCAGCAUC